RNAcentral lists this ribosomal RNA (460 nucleotides) under uncultured bacterium. Its description in RNAcentral is "partial 16S ribosomal RNA". It matches the Rfam family "Bacterial small subunit ribosomal RNA", at positions 338 to 795 of the family's 1533-position model. The record is from RNAcentral.
CCUACGGGAGGCAGCAGUGAGGAAUAUUGGUCAAUGGCCGUAAGGCUGAACCAGCCAAGUCGCGUGAGGGAAUACUGCCCUAUGGGUUGUAAACCUCUUUUAUGCGGGGGCAAAGGUGUCCACGUGCGGAUGUUUGCAGGUACCGCAUGAAUAACGACCGGCUAAUUCCGUGCCAGCAGCCGCGGUAAUAAGGAAGGUCCAGGCUUUAUCCGGAUUUUUGGGGUUUAAAGGGAGCCUGGGCCGGUCUUUAAGCUUCGCGGGAAAUUUUGUGGUUCAAACAUGACAGUGCGGCGCGAACUGGAGAUCUUGAGUGCGCGGAAGGCAGGCGGAAUGCGUGGUGUAGCGGUGAAAUGCUUAGAUAUCACGCAGAACCCCGAUUGCGAAGGCAGCCUGCCGCAGCGUUACUGACGCUGAAGCUCGAAAGCGCGGGUAUCGAACAGGAUUAGAUACCCGGGUAGUC